GCACGGACCAAGGAGUCUAGCAUGUGUGCGAGUCAUUGAGAUUUUUAAACUGAAAGGCACAACGAAAGUGAAGGCGCGCGCUUGCCGCGCGCUCAGGGAGGAUGGAGCGUCGGUCUAGGUCGACCUCUCGCACUCCCGAGGCGUCUCGUUUCCAAUCCGUGAAUGUAGGCGCGCUCCGAGCGCAGAUGCUGGGACCCGAAAGAUGGUGAACUAUGCCUGGUCAGGUCGAAGUCAGGGGAAACCCUGAUGGAGGACCGUAGCGAUUCUGACGUGCAAAUCGAUCGUCGGAACUGGGUAUAGGGGCGAAAGACUAAUCGAACCAUCUAGUAGCUGGUUCCGUCCGAAGUUUCCCUCAGGAUAGCUGGCGUCGAUUUGAACAGUCUCAUCCGGUAAAGCGAAUGAUUAGAGGCAUUGGGGCCGAAACGACCUCAACCUAUUCUCAAACUUUAAAUGGGUGAGAACUCCGGCUUACUCGAACGAUGAAGCCGGAGAUCUGAUGACGGUGCCAAGUGGGCCAAUUUUGGUAAGCAGAACUGGCGCUGUGGGAUGAACCAAACGUAGUGUUAAGGCGCCUAAAAAACGCUCAUGGGACACCAUGAAAGGCGUUGGUCGCUCAUGACAGCAGGACGGUGGCCAUGGAAGUCGGAAUCCGCUAAGGAGUGUGCAACGACUCACCUGCCGAAGCAACCAGCCCUGAAAAUGGAUGGCGCUGAAGCGUUUUGCCUAUACACUACCGUUACGGCCAUGUGGGACGUGUGUUCAUGUCAUUAAGGCGUAACGAGUAGGACGUGCGCGGCGGAGAGCGCAGAAGGGUCUGGGCGUGAGCCCGCUUGGAGCCUCCGUCGGUGCAGAUCUUGGUGGUAGUAGCAAAUACUCCAGCGAGGCCCUGGAGGACUGACGUGGAGAAGGGUUUCGCGUGAACAGUAGUUGCUCGCGAGUCAGUCGAUCCUAAGCUCAAGGAGAAAUCUUAUGUCGAUGUGGCGUGUUUUUAUGUUUUAAUAUAUAUAAAUAACGCCCUUUGAGCGAAAGGGAAUCAGGUUCCUAUUCCUGAACCCGGCAGCGGAACCGUUUCAAUAAUCGUUCCCUCGUUUCAAAGCGAGUGUUCGACGGGGUAACCCAAAGUGGCCUGAAGACGCCGCCGAGAGGUCCGGGAAGAGUUUUCUUUUCUGCCUGAGCGUUCGAGUUCCAUGGAAUCCUAUAGAAGGGAGAUAUGGUUCGGAACGCGAAGAGCACCGCAUUUGCGGCGGUGUCCGGAUACUCUCUGCGGACCUUGAAAAUUCAGGUGAGGGAUGUACGCGGAGUAGUCGCGCCGGUUCGUACCCAUAUCCGCAGCAGGUCUCCAAGGUGAAAAGCCUCUAGUCG
This 1362-nucleotide ribosomal RNA is filed under the name Crypsiptya coclesalis. Its description in RNAcentral is "LSU rRNA". It matches the Rfam family "Eukaryotic large subunit ribosomal RNA", at positions 659 to 1889 of the family's 3401-position model. Lineage: Eukaryota; Metazoa; Arthropoda; Insecta; Lepidoptera; Crambidae. The record is from RNAcentral.